Molecule: transfer RNA, 73 nt
Filed under: Cordylochernes scorpioides
Lineage: Eukaryota; Metazoa; Arthropoda; Arachnida; Pseudoscorpiones; Chernetidae
Description: tRNA-Thr
Rfam family: tRNA
About the family: Transfer RNA (tRNA) molecules are approximately 80 nucleotides in length. Their secondary structure includes four short double-helical elements and three loops (D, anti-codon, and T loops). Further hydrogen bonds mediate the characteristic L-shaped molecular structure. tRNAs have two regions of fundamental functional importance: the anti-codon, which is responsible for specific mRNA codon recognition, and the 3' end, to which the tRNAs corresponding amino acid is attached (by aminoacyl-tRNA synthetases). tRNAs cope with the degeneracy of the genetic code in two manners: having more than one tRNA (with a specific anti-codon) for a particular amino acid; and 'wobble' base-pairing, i.e. permitting non-standard base-pairing at the 3rd anti-codon position.
Source: RNAcentral
UCCAGGGUAGCCUAGUGGAUAUGGCAUCUGCCCGGUAAGCGGAAGGUCGUGGGUUCGAUUCCCAUCCCUGGAC